This 572-nucleotide long non-coding RNA is filed under the name Musa acuminata (dwarf banana). RNAcentral's name for it is "long non-coding RNA (MACU_LNC000135)". The record is from RNAcentral. Lineage: Eukaryota; Viridiplantae; Streptophyta; Magnoliopsida; Zingiberales; Musaceae.
UCAGUCAUAACCCAAAAUAUAAAUGGAACUUUAAAAUUACUUUUUACCUAACGUUUUCGUGUUUCACGGUGCCUAGGAACGAGCAAAGAAUCCUUCGAUGCUUACGUGCGCCAUGGAUCCUAUCAUACCAAAUGAGCCGUGAUUUCCACGACGAAAGAAGUAUUCGAUAGAUCAAAUGAUGAUGGUCGAAAAAGAAACCCAUCGGAUGUGAAGAUUCAACUCAAAUCAAAACGAGAUGAGGUAGGAUUCGUCAAGAUAGAUUGGAAACCAAGUGUCCUAAAAGUGAAAUCGGAGGAAUUCGAGACAGAUUCUUGAGAUCGAGCAUAUCGGAGUUGAGAUCGUUGCUUUCGAGGCCAUCAAAGAUCGAAAACGAAAGAGGAAGUUUAGAUAUCUAACCUGGAUUUUCGCCUUUACUCUGCCGCUUCUCCUCCCAAGUCGAGGCUCGAUGCAAUCAAAGAUUAAAAGCGAAGGAAGAACUUUAGAUAUCUGACCUAGCUCUUCGCCUUUACUCCUCUCUGCUCCUUCACCGCCUUUCGACUCGGGAGAGAAGACGACGUCCUGAUGGGGCUUCA